This 1875-nucleotide unclassified non-coding RNA is filed under the name uncultured fungus. RNAcentral describes it as "sequence contains 18S rRNA gene, ITS1, 5.8S rRNA gene, ITS2, 28S rRNA gene". The stretch from base 703 to 1875 matches the Rfam family "Eukaryotic large subunit ribosomal RNA", at positions 1 to 961 of the family's 3401-position model. Lineage: Eukaryota; Fungi. The record is from RNAcentral.
GGAGGGAUCAUUAUUGAAACUUGGAUUCAACCAGAAGAAGGGGGAUGGUGGGGGAUGAAGGAGUAUUUCUCUUGAUUCUUUCCUCUAUCUCUUUUCUUUUGGACAACCAACCAACACACAUCACUAGGAAAAUAACACACACAGAGAGAUUUUCUCUGGAAAAGCUCUUGUCUGAUAAGUAGCUUGAUUUGGAGUUACUAUAAUCAAUACAACUUUCAACAACGGAUCUCUUGGCUCUCACAUCGAUGAAGAACAUAGCAAAGUGUGAAAAUUAAUGUGAAUUGCAGAAUUCAGUGAAUCAUCGAGUUUUUGAACGCAUCUUGCACUUCUUGGUAUUCCAAGGAGUAUGUCUGGUUGAGUAAUGUUAACCAAACUAAUCAAUCCCUUGAUUGCUGCAAUCCAGCAAUGCAAGAGAUUGGACUUGAGUGUUUACCUUGUCUCUUUUGACAAGGUUCGCUUGAAAUGCAAAGGAACAGGAUCCUUGGGAUUCAUUUCUCAAGGAAUGGCGUGGAGGCUUGUUCCAUUUAACAAUGACUUGAUGAAGGAGAGAUUCGUCUCAUCUCAUAAAGUCCUGUUAAAAGAGUCUCAUUCAACAUGCUCUCUUGUUUCAUCAACUAGGGAAACUGUCGGGACGAGUGGUUUGAAAAGACAGGAAUCUUGAUUUCUGCUCUCUUCUCUCUCUCUCUCUCGGCUUUGAAUUUCCAUUCUCAACUCAGACAAGACUACCCGCUGAAUUUAAGCAUAUAAAUAAGCGGAGGAAAAGAAACUAACAAGGAUUCCCCUAGUAACGGCGAGUGAAGCGGGAAAAGCUCAAAUUUGGAAUCUACCGAGAGUAACAUUCUUGGUCGAAUUGUAGUUUCAAGAAAGAAUGGCUGAGAGGGCCGUGCUAGAUGCAAGUUCCUUGGAACAGGGCAUCAGAGAGGGUGAUAAUCCCGUCCACCAUCUAGCCGAGCUUUCACCAAAGGCCUUCUUUUCAAAGAGUCGAGUUGUUUGGGAUUGCAGCUCAAAAUGGGUGGUAAAUUUCAUCUAAAGCUAAAUAUGGGUGAGAGACCGAUAGCGAACAAGUACCGUGAGGGAAAGAUGAAAAGCACUCUGAAGAGAGAGUGAAAAGUACGUGAAAUUGUUGAAAGGGAAACGCUUGAAGCCAGUCAAGGUUUUCUUGAGAUCAGGGGACUGGGUCGGGCAGAGCGGGCAUUGAGAUUGGUCUCUUUGGGCUAACUUUGUGUCUGGUCUUGUCAAAUUCUAUCUCUGUACGUCUCUGGUUAACAUGUCAACAUCAGUUUGGCUGUUUGGGAGAAAGGUAACAGGAUUUGGUUGGGCUUUGGUCGGGCCUCGGCCCAUCAAGGUUCAAGCCUGCUUAUCACGAUACCAAAUGCUAGACUGAGGACUGCAGUACAGGGCAUUGUCUUGGGCUAGGCAGUCUUGUGGCGAAACUGGGAAUAAACAGCCUAGCUGAUUACUCCUGUUCUCGUUCAAGUUCUGUCCAAUCUAAGCUGGUUCUGACUUUGGAUGUUGACGAAAUGGCUUUAAACGACCCGUCUUGAAACACGGACCAAGGAGUCUAACAUGGAUGCAAGUAUUUGGGUGGCAAACCCAUCUGCGCAAUGAAAGUGAUAUCUCCCAAGGGUAGGAAACUGGGGAGAAUUAAACCCUCUCCCUAGUCGCACUAUCAACCAAUCUUGACUAGCUCCGGCUUGAUAGAUUUGAGUAAGAGCAUGUAUGUUGGGACCCGAAAGAUGGUGAACUAUGCCUGAAUAGGGUGAAGUCAGACGAAAGUCUGAUGGAAGCUCGUAGCGAUUCUGACGUGCAAAUCGAUCGUCAAAUUUGGGUAUAGGGGCGAAAGACUAAUCGAACCAUCUAGUAGCUGGUUCCUGC